This 69-nucleotide transfer RNA is filed under the name Tholosanus proximus. RNAcentral's name for it is "tRNA-Phe". Lineage: Eukaryota; Metazoa; Arthropoda; Insecta; Hemiptera; Pentatomidae. The record is from RNAcentral.
ACUUAGAUAUCUUAAAUUUAAAGUUUAACUCUGAAGAAGUUAAUAUAGGUCUUGUUUACCUUCUAAGUA